ACUUUUGGAUAAUGGGGGAAACCCUGAUCCAGCCAACCCGCGUGUGCGAUGAGGGCCUUCCGGUUGUAUAGCACUUCUGUCCGGCAAGAAAAGGUUCUGGCUUAUACCCGGAACUGAUGCCGGUACCUGUACAAUAGGCCCCGGCUAGCUAUGUGCCAGCAGCCGCGGCAAUACGUAGGGGGCAAGCGUUAAUCGGAAUUACUGGGCGUAAAGCGUGCGCAGGCGGUUCGGAAAGAAGGAUGUGAAAUCCAAGGGCUCAACCUUGGAACUGCAUUCUUAACGACCGAACUAGAGUAUGUCAGAGGGGGGUAGAAUUCCGCGUAGAGCAGUGAAAUGCGUAGAUAUGCGGAGGAAUACCGAUGGCGAAGGCAGCCCCCUGGGAUAAUACUGACGCUCAUGCACGAAAGCGUGGGUAGCAAACAGG
This 424-nucleotide ribosomal RNA is filed under the name uncultured bacterium. RNAcentral describes it as "partial 16S ribosomal RNA". It matches the Rfam family "Bacterial small subunit ribosomal RNA", at positions 360 to 776 of the family's 1533-position model. The record is from RNAcentral.